Non-coding RNA from Triticum aestivum (bread wheat), 115 nucleotides. The record is from Rfam. Lineage: Eukaryota; Viridiplantae; Streptophyta; Magnoliopsida; Poales; Poaceae.
AUAAUACUCCCUCCGUACGGAAUUACUUGUCAUCAAAAUGGAUGUGUCUAGAACUAAAAUACAUCUAGAUACAUCCAUUUCAAUGACAAGUAUUUUCGGACGGAGGGAGUAGUAG